Molecule: ribosomal RNA, 425 nt
Filed under: uncultured bacterium
Lineage: Bacteria
Description: partial 16S ribosomal RNA
Rfam family: Bacterial small subunit ribosomal RNA
Source: RNAcentral
GUGGGGAAUCUUAGACAAUGGGCGCAAGCCUGAUCUAGCCAUGCCGCGUGAGCGAUGAAGGCCUUAGGGUUGUAAAGCACUUUCGUGGGGGAAGAUAAUGACUGUACCCCAAGAAGAAGCCCCGGCUAACUCCGUGCCAGCAGCCGCGGUAAUACGGAGGGGGCUAGCGUUGUUCGGAAUUACUGGGCGUAAAGCGCACGUAGGCGGACUGGAAAGUCAGGGGUGAAAUCCCGGGGCUCAACCCCGGAACUGCCUUUGAAACUCCCAGUCUUGAGUUCGAGAGAGGUGGGUGGAAUUCCGAGUGUAGAGGUGAAAUUCGUAGAUAUUCGGAGGAACACCAGUGGCGAAGGCGGCUCACUGGCUCGAUACUGACGCUGAGGUGCGAAAGCGUGGGGAGCAAACAGGAUUAGAAACCCCUGUAGUCC